Kogia breviceps (pygmy sperm whale) is the source of this 348-nucleotide non-coding RNA. Lineage: Eukaryota; Metazoa; Chordata; Mammalia; Artiodactyla; Physeteridae. The record is from RefSeq and is a predicted model, not a curated record.
AGGUCACCCUCUUUGAUUGAAGGUUUAAAUUAAGGAGACUUUCACUACCAGCUCAAUGUGAAUGAACUCAGAAACGUGACGCUCUGUGAAAAGAAGCCAGGACGACAUUCCAAAGAAAGGAAUAAGAGUCAUAACAGAAUCUGAAAAACUGCGAAGCGGGUUGAUGAUCAUUGGAGGUAUGUGCAGUUUGGGGCUGUUAUGAACAAAGCUGAUAAGAACAGUUGAGUGCAAUCUGCUGUGGACAUAUGGUAGGAGUGAAGGUCCUGGAUCCCAUGACAGGAAACCGAAGUCCUCCGACGCUACUGGCUGCGCCAGCGCCGUGCCCCCCGCCCCCCCACCCCCCACCCC